This 226-nucleotide unclassified non-coding RNA is filed under the name uncultured fungus. RNAcentral describes it as "sequence contains ITS1". The stretch from base 1 to 97 matches the Rfam family "5.8S ribosomal RNA", at positions 49 to 154 of the family's 154-position model. Lineage: Eukaryota; Fungi. The record is from RNAcentral.
GAAAAUGCGAUAUGCAAUGUGAAUUGCAGAACCACGAAUCAUCAGAUCUUUGAACGCAUCUGGCGCCGAUAAAAUCGGCAUACUUGUUUCAGUGUGCUUAAACAACUAAAACCUAAAUGUAGGAGAAAUUCUCCUAUGAAAUAAUUUGUAGCUGUCACAUUCAUUUGUGAGCUUCAAUAAGACUUAAUGUCACCUGAAAUCAAGUAAGAUGACCCGCUGGACUUAA